This 520-nucleotide ribosomal RNA is filed under the name uncultured Glomus. RNAcentral describes it as "SSU rRNA". It matches the Rfam family "Eukaryotic small subunit ribosomal RNA", at positions 569 to 1092 of the family's 1831-position model. Lineage: Eukaryota; Fungi; Glomeromycota; Glomeromycetes; Glomerales; Glomeraceae. The record is from RNAcentral.
AGCAGCCGCGGUAAUUCCAGCUCCAAUAGCGUACAUUAAAGUUGUUGCAGUUAAAAAGCUCGUAGUUGAAUUUCGGGAUCAGAGUGUCGGUCGUGCCUUGGUACGAACUGGUAUUAUUGGUUCCUACCUUCUGAAGAACCGCGAUGUCAUUAAUUUGGUGUCGUGGGGAAUCAGGACUGUUACUUUGAAAAAAUUAGAGUGUUUAAAGCAGGCUUACGCUUGAAUACAUUAGCAUGGAAUAAUGAAAUAGGACGUUUGAUUCUAUUUUGUUGGUUUCUAGGAUUGACGUAAUGAUUAAUAGGGAUAGUUGGGGGCAUUAGUAUUCAAUUGUCAGAGGUGAAAUUCUUGGAUUUAUUGAAGACUAACUACUGCGAAAGCAUUUGCCAAGGAUGUUUUCAUUAAUCAAGAACGAAAGUUAGGGGAUCGAAGACGAUCAGAUACCGUCGUAGUCUUAACCAUAAACUAUGCCGACUAGGGAUCGGAUGAUGUUAAUUUUUAAUGACUCAUUCGGCGCCUUACG